Molecule: ribosomal RNA, 253 nt
Filed under: uncultured bacterium
Lineage: Bacteria
Description: partial 16S ribosomal RNA
Rfam family: Bacterial small subunit ribosomal RNA
Source: RNAcentral
GACGUAGGGUGCAAGCGUUGCUCGGAAUUACUGGGCGUAAAGGGCGUGUAGGCGGCUUGGUAAGCGGGAUGUGAAAUCCCCCGGCUCAACCGGGGAAGUGCAUUCUGUACUGCCAGGCUUGAGUUCGGGAGAGGGAAGUGGAAUUCCCGGUGGAACGGUGAAAUGUGUAGAUAUCGGGAGGAACAUCGGUGGCGAAGGCGGCUUCCUGGCCCGACACUGACGCUGAAACGCGAAAGCGUGGGUAGCAAACAGG